GUGUUAUUCCUGCUUCCUGCUUGCCGUUCUGCUGUUUUGUGAUCGUAGCUCCGUGUAGCUUUGUUUUUCUGUAGAAUCUUUAUAUUACUAUCACUCUCUGUUGUUUAAAGUGAUAAAAUAUAACUUAAUUCCCACCAUAUUUCUGAUAUUAUCUAUCAAUCUAAUCUGAUUAAUUUGAUCGUUCACUUUUAUUUUAAAUCCGCGAGUGCAGUGCACCUGCAUCGCGUUAGCACUCGUUAGCUUGUCAUUAGCGUUUCCAUUUGUGCCUAUCGCUGUUUUCUUUCCUCCUCUCCUCUCUCUCGUUACUCUCUCUCUCCGGUUUUCACAAGUUCAUCAAACAACUGUGGUCACCGUAGCCACCAGAUCCAGUCUGUAUCCAAGUCAGAUGGUCACUGCAGUCACCCGGAUUCAGUAUGUAUCCAGCCCAGAUGGUGGAUUAGUACCUAGAAAGGACCUCUACAGCCCUGAAAGACAGCGGAGACCAGGACUAGAGCCCCAGAGACAGAUCCCCUGUAAAGACCUUGUCUCAGACGACCACCGGGACAAGACCACAGGAAACAGAUGAUUCUUCUGGACAACCUGACUUUGCUGCAGCCUGGAAUUGAACUGCUGGUUUCGUCUGGUCAGAGGAGAACUGGCCCCCCAACUGAGCCUGGUUUCUCCCAAGGUUUUUUUCUCCAUUCUCUCACUGAUGGAGUUUUGGUUCCUUGCCGCUGUCGCCUCUGGCUUGCUUAGUUGGGGACACUUCAUUUACAGCGAUAUCGUUGACUUGCAAAUUAUUGCACAGAUACCAUUUAAACUGAACUGAGCUGCAUGACGACAUCACUGAAUUCAAUGAUGAACUGCCUUUAACUAUCAUUUUGCAUUAUUGACACACUGUUUUCCUAAUUAAUGUUGUUCAGUUGCUUUGACGCAAUCUUUUUUGUUUAAAGCGCUAUAUAAAUAAAGAUGACUUGACUUGACUUGUUUCCCCCGGUGAGAGGGCUCGACGCUCCGCCUGUCUUCCUUCGAGAAGGUUGAAGUGGAGGGCGUCGAUGAGCUCGCCACCAGUUGCACAAGUUUCACAAAUAUAUUAUUGUAUGCCUAAUAUUAUAAUGGGCAGCAUUACUGAAUGAAUGAAUGAGGCAUUUGUGUAGUGCAUUUACUGUGUAUUACUAUACAGCGCUUUACAAUCAUGUGAGGGGAGCGGAGCUCGCGUAGUCAGCUGCAAAAUGCUCCACUCUCACCGUGCAUGCUCUGAGGAGUGUGUCCGUGCCUGUGAUCUUGCAGUUCCGGUCCCGCUGCUGCUGAGGCAUGGCAGUGAUUGAGAUUGUGGGGAUGCGGCUCGCGUUCUGCCGAGGCAACGCGUGUAUUACAUCAUUUUCUGUUUUGAUGUGAAUCUUACCACACCAGACCGUGUUUACUCAUUUGGUUAUUUGGCUGU
This is a long non-coding RNA of Cyprinus carpio carpio, 1423 nucleotides long. The record is from Ensembl. Lineage: Eukaryota; Metazoa; Chordata; Actinopteri; Cypriniformes; Cyprinidae.